GAAGCGGCAACAGCUCAAAUUUGAAAUCUGGCCCUCUUCGGGGGUCCGAGUUGUAAUUUGCAGAGGGUGCUUUGGCGUCGGCAGCGGUCUAAGUUCCUUGGAACAGGACAUCACAGAGGGUGAGAAUCCCGUACGUGGUCGCCUGCCUUCGCCGUGUAAAGCCCCUUCGACGAGUCGAGUUGUUUGGGAAUGCAGCUCUAAAUGGGAGGUAAAUUUCUUCUAAAGCUAAAUACUGGCCAGAGACCGAUAGCGCACAAGUAGAGUGAUCGAAAGAUGAAAAGCACUUUGGAAAGAGAGUCAAACAGCACGUGAAAUUGUUGAAAGGGAAGCGCUUGCAGCCAGACUUGCCCGCAGUUGCUCACCCGGGUCCGCCCGGGGCACUCUUCUGCGGGCAGGCCAGCAUCAGUUUGGGCGACCGGAUAAAGGCCUCUGUCAUGUAUCUUCCUUCGGGAUGACCUUAUAGGGGAGGCGUAAUGCGGCCAGCCCGGACUGAGGUCCGCGCAUCUGCUAGGAUGCUGGCGUAAUGGCUGUAAGCGGCCCGUCUUGAAACACGGACCAAGGAGUCUAACAUCUAUGCGAGUGUUUGGGUGUCAAGCCCGGGCGCGUAAUGAAAGUGAACGGAGGUGGGAACCCUCUCCGGGGGGUGCACCAUCGACCGAUCCUGAUGUCUUCGGAUGGAUUUGAGU
This 686-nucleotide ribosomal RNA is filed under the name Keissleriella poagena. Its description in RNAcentral is "eukaryotic LSU rRNA". It matches the Rfam family "Eukaryotic large subunit ribosomal RNA", at positions 95 to 795 of the family's 3401-position model. Lineage: Eukaryota; Fungi; Ascomycota; Dothideomycetes; Pleosporales; Lentitheciaceae. The record is from RNAcentral.